RNAcentral lists this ribosomal RNA (709 nucleotides) under uncultured bacterium. RNAcentral's name for it is "partial 16S ribosomal RNA". It matches the Rfam family "Bacterial small subunit ribosomal RNA", at positions 8 to 706 of the family's 1533-position model. The record is from RNAcentral.
AGAGUUUGAUCCUGGCUCAGAUUGAACGCUGGCGGCAGGCUUAACACAUGCAAGUCGAGCGGUAGCACAAGAGAGCUUGCUCUCUGGGUGACGAGCGGCGGACGGGUGAGUAAUGUCUGGGAAACUGCCUGAUGGAGGGGGAUAACUACUGGAAACGGUAGCUAAUACCGCAUAACGUCGCAAGACCAAAGAGGGGGACCUUCGGGCCUCUUGCCAUCAGAUGUGCCCAGAUGGGAUUAGCUAGUAGGUGGGGUAAUGGCUCACCUAGGCGACGAUCCCUAGCUGGUCUGAGAGGAUGACCAGCCACACUGGAACUGAGACACGGUCCAGACUCCUACGGGAGGCAGCAGUGGGGAAUAUUGCACAAUGGGCGCAAGCCUGAUGCAGCCAUGCCGCGUGUGUGAAGAAGGCCUUCGGGUUGUAAAACACUUUCAGCGAGGAGGAAGGUGGUGAGCUUAAUACGCUCAUCAAUUGACGUUACUCGCAGAAGAAGCACCGGCUAACUCCGUGCCAGCAGCCGCGGUAAUACGGAGGGUGCAAGCGUUAAUCGGAAUUACUGGGCGUAAAGCGCACGCAGGCGGUUUGUUAAGUCANAUGUGAAAUCCCCGGGCUCAACCUGGGAACUGCAUUUGAAAACUGGNNAGCUNGAGUCUCGUANAGGGGNNNNNNAUUNCAGGUGUUUNNNUGAAUGUNNANNNAUCUGUANGAA